AACGCGAAGAACCUUACCAACCCUUGACAUCCUCGGACCGCCAGAGAGAUCUGGUUUCCACUUCGGUGGCCGAGUGACAGGUGCUGCAUGGCUGUCGUCAGCUCGUGUCGUGAGAUGUUCGGUUAAGUCCGGCAACGAGCGCAACCCACAUCCUUAGUUGCCAGCAGUUCGGCUGGGCACUCUAGGGAAACUGCCCGUGAUAAGCGGGAGGAAGGUGUGGAUGACGUCAAGUCCUCAUGGCCCUUACGGGUUGGGCUACACACGUGCUACAAUGGCAUCUACAGUGGGUUAAUCCCCAAAAGAUGUCUCAGUUCGGAUUGGGGUCUGCAACUCGACCCCAUGAAGUCGGAAUCGCUAGUAAUCGCGUAACAGCAUGACGCGGUGAAUACGUUCCCGGGGUCUGUACACACCGG
RNAcentral lists this ribosomal RNA (413 nucleotides) under uncultured bacterium. RNAcentral's name for it is "bacterial SSU rRNA". It matches the Rfam family "Bacterial small subunit ribosomal RNA", at positions 958 to 1393 of the family's 1533-position model. The record is from RNAcentral.